CAGUCGCCGCGGGAAUACGGAGGGGGCUAGCGUUGUUCGGAAUUACUGGGCGUAAAGCGCACGUAGGCGGCUUGGUAAGUUAGAGGUGAAAGCCUGGAGCUCAACUCCAGAAUUGCCUUUAGGACUGCCGAGCUAGCAGGUGAGAGAGGUAAGUGGAAUUCCGAGUGUAGAGGUGAAAUUCGUAGAUAUUCGGAAGAACACCAGUGGCGAAGGCGGCUUACUGGCUCAUACUGGACGCUGAGGUGCGAAAGCGUGGGGAGCAAACAGGAUUAGAUACCCCAGUAGUCCCUGUCUCUUAUAC
RNAcentral lists this ribosomal RNA (301 nucleotides) under uncultured bacterium. RNAcentral describes it as "partial 16S ribosomal RNA". It matches the Rfam family "Bacterial small subunit ribosomal RNA", at positions 509 to 807 of the family's 1533-position model. The record is from RNAcentral.